Molecule: ribosomal RNA, 494 nt
Filed under: uncultured microorganism
Description: bacterial SSU rRNA
Rfam family: Bacterial small subunit ribosomal RNA
Source: RNAcentral
GAGUUUGAUCUUGGCUCAGAACGAACGCUGGCGGCGUGGAUAAGACAUGCAAGUCGAACGGGAGAAUUGCUAGCUUGCUAAUAAUUCUCUAGCGGCGCACGGGUGAGUAACACGUGAGUAACCUGCCCCCGAGAGCGGGAUAGCCCUGGGAAACUGGGAUUAAUACCGCAUAGUAUCGAAAGAUUAAAGCAGCAAUGCGCUUGGGGAUGGGCUCGCGGCCUAUUAGUUAGUUGGUGAGGUAACGGCUCACCAAGGCGAUGACGGGUAGCCGGUCUGAGAGGAUGUCCGGCCACACUGGAACUGAGACACGGUCCAGACACCUACGGGUGGCAGCAGUCGAGAAUCAUUCACAAUGGGGGAAACCCUGAUGGUGCGACGCCGCGUGGGGGAAUGAAGGUCUUCGGAUUGUAAACCCCUGUCAUGUGGGAGCAAAUUAAAAAGAUAGUACCACAAGAGGAAGAGACGGCUAACUCUGUGCCAGCAGCCGCCGCGGU